Molecule: ribosomal RNA, 614 nt
Filed under: Escherichia coli
Lineage: Bacteria; Pseudomonadati; Pseudomonadota; Gammaproteobacteria; Enterobacterales; Enterobacteriaceae
Description: partial 23S ribosomal RNA
Rfam family: Bacterial large subunit ribosomal RNA
Source: RNAcentral
UUGGCUAAUCCUGGUCGGACAUCAGGAGGUUAGUGCAAUGGCAUAAGCCAGCUUGACUGCGAGCGUGACGGCGCGAGCAGGUGCGAAAGCAGGUCAUAGUGAUCCGGUGGUUCUGAAUGGAAGGGCCAUCGCUCAACGGAUAAAAGGUACUCCGGGGAUAACAGGCUGAUACCGCCCAAGAGUUCAUAUCGACGGCGGUGUUUGGCACCUCGAUGUCGGCUCAUCACAUCCUGGGGCUGAAGUAGGUCCCAAGGGUAUGGCUGUUCGCCAUUUAAAGUGGUACGCGAGCUGGGUUUAGAACGUCGUGAGACAGUUCGGUCCCUAUCUGCCGUGGGCGCUGGAGAACUGAGGGGGGCUGCUCCUAGUACGAGAGGACCGGAGUGGACGCAUCACUGGUGUUCGGGUUGUCAUGCCAAUGGCACUGCCCGGUAGCUAAAUGCGGAAGAGAUAAGUGCUGAAAGCAUCUAAGCACGAAACUUGCCCCGAGAUGAGUUCUCCCUGACUCCUUGAGAGUCCUGAAGGAACGUUGAAGACGACGACGUUGAUAGGCCGGGUGUGUAAGCGCAGCGAUGCGUUGAGCUAACCGGUACUAAUGAACCGUGAGGCUUAACCUU